Long non-coding RNA from Homo sapiens (human), 1137 nucleotides. Ensembl annotates it as PRKCQ antisense RNA 1. Its record names the gene PRKCQ-AS1. NCBI's taxonomy places the organism in Eukaryota, Metazoa, Chordata, Mammalia, Primates, Hominidae. The record is from Ensembl.
ACCUCUAGCCAGGGACGCGCGCUCGGUCCCCCGCCGUGCGCCCCCGGUCCCGCGCCCAGGCUCCCGCCCCUGGCCUCCUUACCAGCCACUUGUCGCCCAGCUGCGAACUGGAGCGGGAGGCGGCGGCCGGAGGGCCCAGGACAGCCCCGGGAGGGCGGCGAGGCGGAGCAGGAGCGCCCCGGCUCCGGCCACAUUCUCAGAGUCAGGAAAAGGGGCGAGAGGCCACAUGUCUCCCUCUCGCCCAACUGAAAACGAAACGGCGCUCCAGCAGAUUGGGUGGAAAGAGCUGGGUCUCUUUUCUCUGUUUUUCACGCUAGAAAGGGCUUGUAAACAUUGUUCCUUUUAAAAUGACCUACCCCAGGCAUUUGUUUGGGCACACUUCUGUCCUGGGGUCAUCGUUCCUAGGUGGCUUCGGACCUGGGACUUUUCCUGUAUCUGCACAUUGUCGUUUUAUACACAAUUGCCAAGGUGGGACUGCUUUCAACUUUACUGUGCUUGAAGCUGCAAAGGUUCUGCCCUGAUGUUUCCUGGAAUAAUGCUGAGGACUGCCUUUCGGGUAGCCGCCCUAUUCAGUUCACUUCAUCUCGGAAAUACCUGACCCCUGCCUUGGAUCCAGCGGCCCUCCUGAGAGCUGAGGAAGGAGGAAAUCCUAUGUGUCUGCUCCCGGAGCUGCCACAACCCAUCUUCCCACAACUCGGAACUUGGAAAAAGGAACCCAGGACACGACUUUGCUUUUCUUUUGGACCUAGUUGGUGAUUAUACUCUGUCUCCCAUGGAGACCACGUCUUGCAUCCUUCCUUCUAUAUGGGAUUUAGGAUAGAAAUUAAAAAGAAAACAUAUUAUUUUGAGUCUUGAUUUGGAGAAAGGUAGUAUUCAGGAGGAAGUAGGCUAUGAUACACAUAGAAAAUUUGAGGACAGUGUUACUUAACAAGGACAUUUCUGUCUCUGCAGAAGUCACAGCUUGGAGGAAACCAGUUUGCACUAUUUGAUGAGGAAUUUGGCCACCAAACCACUGAUACUUUCCCAAAGGUUUGGCAGAAAUUGUUUUUUGAGUGGCUCACCAGAGUACCCAGAAGAAUCAGUAUGGAAUUAGAGGACAGUGGCCUACCCUAAAUAAAGACAUGAGUGAUGUAUAAA